UUAAAUUUUAUUUAUUAGUUUUUAUUGUUUAUUAAAUAAAUUAUUAAAAAUAAUUAUAAAAAUAUUUGUUUUAGUAUUUUUUAAGGAAAAAAUAAAUUUAAUUAUAGUGUAAUAGUAUUGUGAAAGAAAAUUGAAAUAAAUUGAAAAAUUUUUAUAAAAAAAGAAAAUUUAAUUUAUUGUACCUUGUGUAUCAGGGUUUAUCUAAUAAAAAUUAAUUAAUUUAAUUUUCUCGAUUUUAAAAGAGUUAAUAUAUUAUGAAAAUUAAUGUAAUAAAAUUAUUUUAAAUAAUAUAUUAGUAAUGAAAUGUUAUUCGUUUUUAAAGGUAUCUAGUUCUUUAAGAAAAAAAUUUAAUUUUGAGAUUUUAUAUUAUUUAUUUUAUUUUUAAUUUAAAUAAUUAUUUAAUUUUAAUAUUUUAUGGGAUAAGCUAUAAAAUAAAUUAUUAAAAAUAAUUGAAUAAGUUAAUAAAUAUAAACUUAGAAAUAGUUAUUAUUAAUAAAAGUGUUAUAAUUUAUUUUAUAAUUUAAAUUAUUUAAUAGAUUUUUAAUUAUUUAUUAAAGUAUUUAUUUUAAUUUUGUAAAUAAAAAAAUAAUGAUAAAAUUAGUAUAUAAAUAUUUUGUAUAAAUAAAUUUUUAUGAAAAGUUUUUAUAAAGAAUUCGGCAAAAUUUAAUAUUCGCCUGUUUAACAAAAACAUGUCUUUUUGAAUUAAUUUUAAAGUCUAACCUGCCCACUGAAUUUAUUUAAAUGGCCGCAGUAUACUAACUGUGCAAAGGUAGCAUAAUCAUUAGUCUUUUAAUUGAAGGCUGGUAUGAAUGGUUGGACGAAAUAUUAACUGUUUCAUAAAAAUUUUUAAUAGAAUUUUAUUUUUUAGUCAAAAAGCUAAAAUUAAUUUAAAAGACGAGAAGACCCUAUAAAUCUUUAUAUUUAAAUUUUCCUAGUUUUUUUGAUUAAUUUUAUUAUGAUAAUUUAUAAUAUUUUAUUGGGGUGAUAUUAAAAUUUAAUAAACUUUUAAUUAUUAAAUUCAUUAAUUUAUGUUUAAUUGAUCCGUUAUUAACGAUUAAAAAUUUAAGUUACUUUAGGGAUAACAGCGUAAUUUUUUUGGAGAGUUCAUAUCGAUAAAAAAGAUUGCGACCUCGAUGUUGGAUUAAGAAAUAAUUUUAGGUGUAGUCGUUUAAAUUUUAAGUCUGUUCGACUUUUAAAUUCUUACAUGAUCUGAGUUCAGACCGGCGUAAGCCAGGUUGGUUUCUAUCUUUAAAAAAUUAAAAUAUUUCAGUACGAAAGGACCUAAUAUUUAAUAAAUUAUUAUUUUUAUAUUGAAUAUUAUUAAUAUAAAAUA
This 1333-nucleotide ribosomal RNA is filed under the name Euryomma sp. SMD-2015. RNAcentral's name for it is "16S ribosomal RNA". The stretch from base 1078 to 1237 matches the Rfam family "Archaeal large subunit ribosomal RNA", at positions 2544 to 2703 of the family's 2987-position model. The record is from RNAcentral. Lineage: Eukaryota; Metazoa; Arthropoda; Insecta; Diptera; Fanniidae.